GAAAAGGUGAAAAGGAGAGAUGAUUCUCAUCUCUCUUGACAAGGACGAAAACAAUUCUCAAAUCUGGUUAACACAUCGGUAAAGGCUACCCAGUACCCAUCUUU
This 104-nucleotide non-coding RNA is filed under the name Glycine soja. Lineage: Eukaryota; Viridiplantae; Streptophyta; Magnoliopsida; Fabales; Fabaceae. The record is from RNAcentral.